Molecule: long non-coding RNA, 838 nt
Organism: Rhincodon typus (whale shark)
Lineage: Eukaryota; Metazoa; Chordata; Chondrichthyes; Orectolobiformes; Rhincodontidae
Exons: 6
Source: RefSeq, a predicted model, not a curated record
UUGGAAAGACAAAAUGGUGGAAUCAAUUGAUCCACAGAGACUUUGCACAUUACUCAGGGAAGGACAUUUCAACUCGAUCAGGAAAAUUGCAUGCACACUGGACACAAAAGAGAUCACAAGACCAGCUAGAAUCUUUGAGGCAUAACAGCACUGUAUUUUGUGGUCAGUAGCUAAGUGGUUCUUGAGAUUGUUAAGAAGUCAGGGGUAUAUCUGCAGCUUUGGGACAGUCACUCAACUACUUUUGGAGAGCAGCAGUAACAAGGCCAUGACAGCCUGACAGGAGUGAGAGUUGACUAAAUAGAACCUUGAAAAACAUCUUGUGUCAAGAAAUUGACUUCAUGGAACCAAGGAGAGGAGAACACAUAUAUAAUGGGAUCCAUGUAAAGACAGGCUGACCCAUGGUUAUUCCUGACAAGAAUUCUGGGAUUCAGAAGAGGGUCCAAAUUCCAGCACCUUAAAAUGACCCCAGAAUGGAGUGAGGGCAAGAGGUGCACCACCUAACAAUAUUGGAUGCUGCCAGAUUUGCUGAAUUUCUGUAGAAAUUGUGUUUGUUUAAGAGAAGACAGUAAUAUUUGGAAAUGAACAUACUCAUCAUACAGCAUACAAAACAAACUGGACCAGGAUACAUUAUUUGCAGGUUUUACUGGCUUUUGCUUCUGACAACAAGCUCAAGUAAUCUGAGAUAUGUAUUAUUACCAAAAAGUAGCAAAAAUGUGACAGAUUACCAAAUGAAAGGUACAAUUUAUGGAGAUUAGUUUAUAAAAUGUAAUUUUAUUGACUAUAAUAUGUCUAGAUCUAAACUUUUGUAGAAUGAUAUUAAAGAUUUAAGUAAAUAUAG